UCAAGUAUUCAGCCCAAGUUUAUUACCACAGUGGACUCGGGUUAUAAUUACCAACAGAGGAGAGAAUAACUAUAAGUUAUUUUGAUGUAAAAAGCAUAUUAUCCUAAGCCAACAUAAUAACACAGUUUUUAUGAAGCACAAUAAUUACUUUGAAGACUCACAGAAGUGCAUUUUUCUAAAAGAAGGAGGAUUCUCAUACAGAAACAGAUUAACAGAAACAGAAACAGCAACACUAGAGAACAGCAAAAUAGUAACAUUUCAAAUAGUAACAUUUCAAGAAAAUAUAUACACCUUCACAGUAUGUGGUGGUAUCCACUUACUGUCUACUGCCUCCAUAACUCCUAAAGUCUUCUGAAGGAUUUAUUAAUGCUUUGAAUAUAUGAGCCACCGUUUCUUUUCACAGCCUUUUCACAACUGGGAAUUCUUUAGAGAAAGGCAAUCUUACCUCAUUUACUUACUUCAUCAGUAAUGCCAUUACUAUGCCUACCUAAGAAGAAAAUAUAUCAUGUGGCAGAGGACUAGAAAGAAAAAACAACAACAAAAGGCUGUGAAGAUUUGAUCAUAUGCCUACGUGUGUGGUGAAUACAAUAUUUCUUUAAUCGCAAUCAGGAAUAUAAAUCUUAUUUUGAUGCUAUGACAUAAUAAAGUGCAUUAUUUUCCUGAAA
Molecule: long non-coding RNA, 665 nt
Filed under: Homo sapiens (human)
Lineage: Eukaryota; Metazoa; Chordata; Mammalia; Primates; Hominidae
Description: non-protein coding LINC01851:7
Source: RNAcentral